RNAcentral lists this ribosomal RNA (305 nucleotides) under Pseudomonas aeruginosa. RNAcentral describes it as "bacterial SSU rRNA". It matches the Rfam family "Bacterial small subunit ribosomal RNA", at positions 417 to 714 of the family's 1533-position model. The record is from RNAcentral. Lineage: Bacteria; Pseudomonadati; Pseudomonadota; Gammaproteobacteria; Pseudomonadales; Pseudomonadaceae.
UUCGGGUUGUAAAGCACUUUCAGCGGGGAGGAAGGCGGUGAGGUUAAUAACCUCAUCGAUUGACGUUACCCGCAGAAGAAGCACCGGCUAACUCCGUGCCAGCAGCCGCGGUAAUACGGAGGGUGCAAGCGUUAAUCGGAAUUACUGGGCGUAAAGCGCACGCAGGCGGUCUGUCAAGUCGGAUGUGAAAUCCCCGGGCUCAACCUGGGAACUGCAUUCGAAACUGGCAGGCUAGAGUCUUGUAGAGGGGGGUAGAAUUCCAGGUGUAGCGGUGAAAUGCGUAGAGAUCUGGAGGAAUACCGGUG